UACGUAGGGUGCUAGCGUUGUCCGGAUUUAUUGGGCGUAAAGGGCUCGCGUGGUGCGUGUCGCGUCGGGAGUGAAAGCCCGCUGCUUAACGGCGGGUUGGCUUCCGGUACGGGCAUCGCUGGAGUGCGGCAGGGGAGACUGGAAUUCCUGGUGUAGCGGUGGAAUGCGCAGAUAUCAGGAGGAACACCGGUGGCGAAGGCGGGUCUCUGGGCCGUUACUGACGCUGAGGAGCGAAAGCGUGGGGAGCGAACAGG
This 254-nucleotide ribosomal RNA is filed under the name uncultured bacterium. Its description in RNAcentral is "partial 16S ribosomal RNA". It matches the Rfam family "Bacterial small subunit ribosomal RNA", at positions 524 to 776 of the family's 1533-position model. The record is from RNAcentral.